CUUAUUCUCCCUUCGUCCAGAAAUACUUGUCCGGAGAAUGGAUGUAUCUAGAUAUAUUUUAGUUCUAGAUACAUUAAUUUCUAUUCGUUUUUGCGACAAGUAAUUCCGUACGGAGGGAGUAGUUA
Molecule: non-coding RNA, 125 nt
Organism: Hordeum vulgare subsp. vulgare (domesticated barley)
Lineage: Eukaryota; Viridiplantae; Streptophyta; Magnoliopsida; Poales; Poaceae
Source: Rfam